CAGUAGCCACGGGAAUACGUAGGUGGCAAGCGUUGUCCGGAUUUAUUGGGCGUAAAGCGAGCGCAGGCGGUUCCUUAAGUCUGAUGUGAAAGCCCCCGGCUCAACCGGGGAGGGUCAUUGGAAACUGGGGAACUUGAGUGCAGAAGAGGAGAGUAGAAUUCCAUGUGUAGCGGUGAAAUGCGUAGAUAUAUGGAGGAACACCAGUGGCGAAGGCGACCCUCUGGUCUGUAACUGACGCUGAGGCUCGAAAGCGUGGGUAGCAAACAGGAUUAGAUACCCGCGUAGUCCCUGUCUCUUAUAU
Molecule: ribosomal RNA, 301 nt
Filed under: uncultured bacterium
Lineage: Bacteria
Description: partial 16S ribosomal RNA
Rfam family: Bacterial small subunit ribosomal RNA
Source: RNAcentral